This 633-nucleotide long non-coding RNA is filed under the name Pan troglodytes (chimpanzee). RNAcentral's name for it is "long non-coding RNA NONPTRT015097". The record is from RNAcentral. Lineage: Eukaryota; Metazoa; Chordata; Mammalia; Primates; Hominidae.
CUGGGGGGAGGGGGAUUCUGAGGAGUGAAACCACUUCCUGUGUAGCUAGUUCCUGUGUUGACAGAAAGAGCAGAAGAGGAGGUGGGGUGGAGGGAGCAGAGCCAGGGAUUAGGGGGCUACUGAGGCUCUGGAGAUGAGACCGCCAGGAGUCCUUCCCCACCAUGAGCCCCCUCCACUCCUGCAGCUGGAGGAGUUUUUCCCAGUCUCGGUGCUGCCCUGGGGCGAGAGAGACUGAACAAGCUGUUUGGGUGGGAAAAGAGAAUGGAGGAAGUUGACAGGGAUGGGCGGGGCCCGUGGGGGGGCUGACCAGGAACCCAGCUUCCUGCUCAGUACCCAGGCAUCCAGCCCCCAGCUCACCCCCACCCCUUCCAGCCCCCACUCCCCUCAGGAACCCAAGGUUCCAGCCCUCCUCCCAAAUCCCAGCCACCCCUCCCCCACCAGUUUCUCCCCUCUAGGGGAUGGAGGCUGAGAGACCCCAGGAAGAAGAGGAUGGUGAGCAGGGCCCCCCUCAGGAUGAGGAAGGCUGGCCCCCUCCAAACUCCACCACUCGGCCUUGGCGAUCUGCUCCUCCGUCCCCUCCUCCUCCAGGGACCCGCCACACAGGUACCCCUACCCACCCAGGGAGAGCCCCGA